CAAGUCACCUGUGGUGACACAAAGCAAUUCGCAUCUACUGAAAUCCAGUAUCAUCCAAGCUACACGUGUCCAAAACUAUGAGAAAUCGAGUCCAUCAGCACAAUUCGAGGUAUAGGCAUUGAGGUACAAUCGUCAGUCUUCUUGAGGCAGCCUGAGCAGUCGUUGCCCAUCGUUGAGGUACAAUCGUCAGUCUUCUUGAGGCAGCCUGAGCAGUCGUUGCCCAUCGUAGAUGUCAAUCGUGAGGAUGCACCGAGUAUGCUACAUAUUUACGCACAAGGGAGGGCGUUCGCUAGAUUAGAG
Molecule: long non-coding RNA, 300 nt
Filed under: Brachypodium distachyon (stiff brome)
Lineage: Eukaryota; Viridiplantae; Streptophyta; Magnoliopsida; Poales; Poaceae
Description: long non-coding RNA (BDIS_LNC003894)
Source: RNAcentral